GUCUGACGCCGCGACGCCGCGUGAAGGAUGAAGGCCUUUGGGUUGUAAACUUCUUUYSCCUCGACAGAGAUGUCGUGGAGAAUAAGCACCGGCUAACUACSUGCCAGCAGCAGCGGUAAAACGUAGGGUGCAAGCGUUGUCCGGAUUUAUUGGGCGUAAAGAGUUGCGUAGGCGCCCCGUCGCAUCUUGUUUUAAAUACCAGGGCUUAACUCUGGAAAGGGACAAGAGAUGGACGGGGUUGAAGAAUGUCGGGGUUACUGGAACUGUCGGUGUAGGGGUGAAAUCCGUUGAUAUCGACAAGAACACCAAGGGCGAAGGCAGGUAACUAGGCAUUAUUUGACGCUGAGGAACGAAAGCUAGGGUAGCGAAAGGGAUUAGAGACCCCUGUAGUCCUAGCCGUAAACGAUGCUCGCUAGGGAUCCGAUGCUUUAUGCAUUGGGUCUCGUAAGCUAACGCGUUAAGCGAGCCGCCUGGGGAGUACGAUCGCAAGAUUAAAACUCAAAGGAAUUGACGGGGACCCGCACAACCAGUGGAGCAUGUGGUUUAAUUCGAGACGAACCGAAGAACCUUACCUGGACUUGACAUCCUAGCUGCACGUCGCUAGAAAUAGCGAUUUCUUCGAGAGUGCUAGGACAGGUGUUGCAUGGCUGUCGUCAGCUCGUGCCGUAGGGUGUUCCCUUCAGUGGGGUAACGAGCGCAACCCCUGCCGUAUGUUGAAUU
RNAcentral lists this ribosomal RNA (720 nucleotides) under uncultured bacterium. Its description in RNAcentral is "bacterial SSU rRNA". It matches the Rfam family "Bacterial small subunit ribosomal RNA", at positions 381 to 1121 of the family's 1533-position model. The record is from RNAcentral.